UUGACGCACAUUGCGGCCUCGGGCCUUCCCGUGGCUUCGUCUGUGUGAGGGUCGGAUCAUAUAUCAAGAGAGGAGAAUUUUAUUCUACCUCGUUUUGACCGUGUCGGAUCGUGGACAGCACGCAGGUUUAUGCUUUCUUGCGUUGCGUUUUCAUACAUUUUUCCGAGCGAGAAACGGAGAGAGUGAGCAAAUGCACGAGUGGGUGAAGUGUGCGAAUGCACGCGUGUGUUCGAACUACUCGUCUGGAUGACGCUGCCCUAGAAAACUAAAAAGAGAAUCUGGACCGUUUGUGGAUAAUGUUGGGAUCCUUCGCACGAUGGACGGCGCUCGAAAGAGACGUCGGUGCUUUGGAAACCGCAUCGAGACGGUUUUUUUUUCUCGGAUUUUUGCUUUCUUUUGGGCGUGGAAAGUGUCCCGGACUGAGUUUCGAGCGCGACGAAACGCGGCGUCCGCAGAAUUUCUUUUCGUGGCGUUGAUUUGCACGCACUCGGAUGCGUUCUUGCAUGGGAGAAUGGAAACGCUUCUGGGAGGAAAAGCAUUGCGUCGUAGUCUUCCGUCGGUCUAAGACCUUCGCGUCCCCGAUGAAUACUGGAGCCAUCCAGUAGGGGAUUGCCGUUGGAUUGCGCGCUUUCUUUAUAUAGUAAGCGAUGCAUUGGGCGCAUACCCGUUGUCUUCUAUUAUACGCCAUCCUCGCAGGCGAGGAGACGAAAAAAAAGGGAGCGACGGGGAGGGGUAGCCCCUAAAAAAUAAAAAGAUUUGUCGACCUCACAUCAGGCGAGACAACCCGCUGAAUUUAAGCAUAUCACUAAGCGGAGGAAAAGAAACCAACAGGGAUUCCCUUAGUAGCGGCGAGCGAAACGGGACCUAGCCCAGCACCGAAUC
RNAcentral lists this ribosomal RNA (882 nucleotides) under Ixodes granulatus. RNAcentral describes it as "eukaryotic LSU rRNA". The stretch from base 761 to 882 matches the Rfam family "Eukaryotic large subunit ribosomal RNA", at positions 1 to 121 of the family's 3401-position model. Lineage: Eukaryota; Metazoa; Arthropoda; Arachnida; Ixodida; Ixodidae. The record is from RNAcentral.